This 350-nucleotide ribosomal RNA is filed under the name uncultured bacterium. RNAcentral's name for it is "bacterial SSU rRNA". It matches the Rfam family "Bacterial small subunit ribosomal RNA", at positions 355 to 697 of the family's 1533-position model. The record is from RNAcentral.
UGGGGAAUAUUGCACAAUGGGCGCAAGCCUGAUGCAGCCAUGCCGCGUGUGUGAAGAAGGCUCUAGGGUUGUAAAGCACUUUCAGCGAGGAGGAAAGGGUGAUGUUUAAUACGCAUCAUCUGUGACGUUACUCGCAGAAGAAGCACCGGCUAACUCCGUGCCAGCAGCCGCGGUAAUACGGAGGGUGCGAGCGUUAAUCGGAAUUACUGGGCGUAAAGCGCGCGUAGGCGGUUUGUUAAGCGAGAUGUGAAAUCCCCGGGCUCAACCUGGGAACUGCAUUUCGAACUGACAGGCUAGAGUACAGAAGAGGGUGGUGGAAUUUCCAGUGUAGCGGUGAAAUGCGUAGAGAU